RNAcentral lists this transfer RNA (84 nucleotides) under Flavobacterium noncentrifugens. It matches the Rfam family "tRNA". Rfam says of the family: Transfer RNA (tRNA) molecules are approximately 80 nucleotides in length. Their secondary structure includes four short double-helical elements and three loops (D, anti-codon, and T loops). Lineage: Bacteria; Pseudomonadati; Bacteroidota; Flavobacteriia; Flavobacteriales; Flavobacteriaceae. The record is from Rfam by way of RNAcentral.
GGCGACGUGGAGAAACUGGUAGACUUGCCAGCUUGAGGGGCUGGUGCUCAUUAGGGCGUGUGGGUUCGAAUCCCAUCGUCGUCA